UACAGAGGGUGCAAGCGUUGUUCGGAAUUAUUGGGCGUAAAGCGCGUGUAGGCGGCUUAGCAAGUCGGGCGUGAAAGCCCUCGGCUCAACCGAGGAACUGCGCCCAAAACUACCGUGCUCGAGGAAGAUAGAGGUGAGCGGAACUCACGGUGGAGCGGUGAAAUGCGUUGAUAUCGUGAGGAACACCCGUGGCGAAAGCGGCUCACUGGGUCUUUUCUGACGCUGAUGCACGAAAGCUAGGGGAGCAAACGGG
Molecule: ribosomal RNA, 253 nt
Filed under: uncultured bacterium
Lineage: Bacteria
Description: partial 16S ribosomal RNA
Rfam family: Bacterial small subunit ribosomal RNA
Source: RNAcentral